Long non-coding RNA from Oncorhynchus kisutch (coho salmon), 697 nucleotides. RefSeq lists it as uncharacterized. Lineage: Eukaryota; Metazoa; Chordata; Actinopteri; Salmoniformes; Salmonidae. The record is from RefSeq and is a predicted model, not a curated record. The transcript has 3 exons.
AAGUUCGAAAACCAAGAGAACAAUUUAUAAUACACCUCCUCCUGUCUCCUGUAAUUUAAAAAAAUUAUUGGAAUUAACCAACUACCGCACCGAUAGCAUAGUGUUAAUUAGCACCCAUUUUCACGUGAGAUAGCACCCUUAGGCAAUUGCUUACAAUGAGGAAAUCUUAUUUGGACAAAUGUACCUACUUGAGCGAGACACGUUAGUGUGUUGUUGGAGGGCGAGAGUCCUAAAAUGUAAAGCAGCAGCAGCUGUCAACUUCAUCACUGCCCCUUCUGCACAUAUAAAGCUGAACAAUAUAUGGUCAACAACCACACCAAAGGUCAACAACCACAUCAAAGGUCAUGCUUCAGUGAGGCACAGAGAGGUCACAAUCAUAAAGCGUGGCUUUCGUUGUUGCACGGCAACAAUAAUCAACAGCACAGUUUCUGAAGCACCUGACAUACCAUCAGUAUCCUAGGUUACAAUCCCCCACUACGGUUGUAUGAUGGCCUGGAUGAAGAAUAUUCUCCUCAAGGAACCAUUCAUGUUCUCGUUCCAGUUACAGAGACAUUAUGAGAUGUUCUAUGUGGAGGCAGUUGACUACAAUAAAAUGACUGUCUGCCUCUUUAGAGGAGCAAGAGUGAAGCCAUUUUUGAGGAGUGGUCAAACCUUGUUUUUCUCUGCUGUGUUAAUUGUUUCAAUUGUUAAUUGUGUU